Hippocampus zosterae (dwarf seahorse) is the source of this 2200-nucleotide long non-coding RNA. RefSeq lists it as uncharacterized. The transcript is spliced from 2 exons. Lineage: Eukaryota; Metazoa; Chordata; Actinopteri; Syngnathiformes; Syngnathidae. The record is from RefSeq and is a predicted model, not a curated record.
CAUUCACACUCACAAUCACUCACAAGAGUAUGAAGACCCUGAGGUGGGCUCUCCUAUCUCUGUGGUUGAAGUCACCGACCGAUGUGGUUAAAAAGCUCCUCGGUGGCAAGACCCCAGGGGUGCAUGAGAUCCGCCCGGAGUUCCUCAAGGCUCUGGAUGUUGUGGGGCUGUCUUGUUUGGACACGCCCCUGCAACAUCUCAAGGUCAUCGGGGAGAGUGCCUCUGGAUUGGCAGACCGGGGUGGUAGUCCCUCUUUUUAAAAAGGGGGACCGGAGGGUGUGUUCCAACUACAGAGGGAUCACACUCCUCAGCCUCCCUGGUAAGGUCUAUUCAGGGGUGCUGGAGAGGAGGGUCCGUCGGGAAGUCGAGCCUCAGAUUGAGGAGGAGCAGUGUGGUUUUCGUCCCGGCCGUGGAACAGUGGACCAGCUCUACACCCUUAGCAGGGUCCUUGAGGGUAUGUGGGAAUUCGCCCAACCAGUCUACAUGUGUUUUGUGGACUUGGAGAAGGCGUUUGACCGUGUCCCUCGGGGAGUUCUGUGGGGGGUGCUUCGUGGGUAUGGGGUACCGAACCCCCUGAUACGGGCUGUUCGGUCACUGUACCACCGAUGUCAGAGUUUGGUUCGCAUUGCUGGCAGUAAGUCGGAAUCGUUUCCAGUGGGGGUAGGACUCCGCCAAGGCUGCCCUUUGUCGCAGAUUCUGUUCAUAACCUUUAUGGACAGAAUUUCUAGGCGCAGCCGAAGCGUUGAUGGGUCCGUUUUGGGGGCCUCAGUAUUGCAUCCCUGCUUUUUGCAGAUGAUGUGGUGCUGUUGGCUCCUUCAAACGGGGCUCUCCAGCUCUCAUUGGAGCGUUUCACAGCCGAGUGUGAAGCGGUUGGGAUGAAAAUCAGCACCUCCAAAUCUGAAACCAUGGUCCUCAGUCGGAAAAGGGUGGAGUGCCCCCUCCGGGUCGGGGAGGAGAUCUUGCCCCAAGGGGAGGAGUUCAAGUAUCUUGGGGUCUUGUUCACGAGUGGGGGUAGGAGGGAGCGGGAGAUCGACAGGCGGAUCGGUGCAGCGUCUGCUGUGAUGCGGACGUUGUAUCGGUCUGUCGUGGUUCAGCGUGAUUAAGCGGUUCAGAAAAUGGAUGGAUGGAUGGAUUCCCUAAUCCUCACUAGUGUCGUGGGGGGUGCUGGAGCCUAUCCCAGCUGUCUUCGGGCAGCAGGCGAGGGACACCCUGAACCGGUUGCCAGCCAAUCGCAGGGCACACAGAGACGAACAACCAUGCGCGCUCACACUCAUACCUAGGGACAAUUUAGUGUGUUCAAUCAGCCUGCUAUGCAUGUUUUUGGAACGUGGGAGGAAACUGGAGUGCCCGGAGAAAACCCACGCGGGCCCAAGGAGGACAUGCAGACUCCACACAGCGAGGCCGGAGCUGGAAUAGAACCCGGUACCACUGCACUGGGAAGUCAACGUGCUAACCACUGGACUACCAGGCUGCCUACUGUAGGACUAAAUACUCAAUAAAAAAGAUUUGCACAAUUAUGUAUUCAAAUACAAAACAUGCUUCGUUAAUAAAAUAUCACCAGUGCUCAUGAUAAAACCAAUGGUGGAUCCCAUUCAAAUGCUAAAGUGAAAGAAAACAUGGUGUUUGGGAGUGUCACACCAUCAAAUAGAGAAUAUUCAGACACGAACACUGUGUAAAUAAUUCCACUCCAAGGCAAAAAUUCUUGUGAAAAACAAGUGUUAGUAAUCGAGGUAAAUCGCAACUUCUGUUCUCAUUCACUCCAUCCAUGCACGGCACCUCACUGCCAACAAGAGGCCAAAAUGCAAAGGAACACCUGAAAUUUAUUUUUAGCGUUGCUAAAUUGCUAUUAUUUAAGUAUAUUCUUAUCUGACUUAAUGACUAAUUAAUUUUAUUAAUAGUUAUAUUACAUUAUAGUUUUAUUUAACGACUGCAAGAAUAAAAAUAGAAUAGCAUGUUGAAGGUGCAGAAAUGAUUAGGCAUGAGGCUAUGAUUACAUGCCCUGUGUAUUUGGUACUUGACUUUUAGUAAUUACAUAAAUACUUAGUUAAGCAUCACUAAAUUGUUUAUUAUUGUGAAACAGGUCUCAAUAAAAAUAAUCUGGAUUAUUAUUUUUUUCAUAAUUUAUGUGAGGUUUGUGUGGUGAUAUUGUCUUUUGACAUUUGGAUAUUGUCACAUUCCUCAUAUUCAGUGCACUACAAAA